UGGGGAAUAUUGGACAAUGGGCGAAAGCCUGAUCCAGCCAUGCCACGUGUGUGAAGAAGGCCUUUUGGUUGUAAAGCACUUUAAGUGGGGAGGAAAAGCUUAUGGUUAAUACCCAUAAGCCCUGACGUUACCCACAGAAUAAGCACCGGCUAACUCUGUGCCAGCAGCCGCGGUAAUACAGAGGGUGCAAGCGUUAAUCGGGAUUACUGGGCGUAAAGCGCGCGUAGGUGGUUAUUUAAGUGAGGUGUGAAAGCCCCGGGCUUAACCUGGGAAUUGCAUUUCAGACUGGGUAACUAGAGUACUUUAGGGAGGGGUAGAAUUCCACGUGUAGCGGUGAAAUGCGUAGAGAUGUGGAGGAAUACCGAAGGCGAAGGCAGCCCCUUGGGAAUGUACUGACGCUCAUGUGCGAAAGCGUGGGUAGCAAACAGGAUUAGAUACCCUGGUAGUCCACGCCGUAAACGAUGUCUACCAGUCGUUGGGUCUUUUAAAGACUUAGUGACGCAGUUAACGCAAUAAGUAGACCGCCUGGGGAGUACGGCCGCAAGGUUA
This 549-nucleotide ribosomal RNA is filed under the name uncultured bacterium. RNAcentral describes it as "bacterial SSU rRNA". It matches the Rfam family "Bacterial small subunit ribosomal RNA", at positions 355 to 896 of the family's 1533-position model. The record is from RNAcentral.